GAGUAAUGCGUGACCAACCUGCCCCAUGCUCCAGAAUAGCUCUUGGAAACGGGUGGUAAUGCUGGAUGCUCCAACUUGACGCAUGUCUUGUUGGGAAAGUGUUUAGUGGCAUGGGAGUGGGGUCGCGUCCUAUCAGCUUGUAGGGCGGGGUAAUGGCCCACCUAGGCUUCGACGGGUAGCCGGCCUGAGAGGGCGGACGGCCACAUUGGGACUGAGAUACGGCCCAGACUCCUACGGAGGCAGCAG
Molecule: ribosomal RNA, 246 nt
Filed under: uncultured Gardnerella sp.
Lineage: Bacteria; Bacillati; Actinomycetota; Actinomycetes; Bifidobacteriales; Bifidobacteriaceae
Description: partial 16S ribosomal RNA
Rfam family: Bacterial small subunit ribosomal RNA
Source: RNAcentral